RNAcentral lists this long non-coding RNA (1265 nucleotides) under Scophthalmus maximus (turbot). RNAcentral describes it as "lncRNA (ENSSMAG00000021529.1)". Lineage: Eukaryota; Metazoa; Chordata; Actinopteri; Pleuronectiformes; Scophthalmidae. The record is from RNAcentral.
CUAAUAUGUCACUUUAUGAAAGAAUCAUACAUUGUUAAUGAAGAGUUUCAAUGAGCUGAUACAAAAUGUAAAAAAACGUGAUAAUGUCCUUAAAAUGGAAAAUCAUGGGGGUAAGGGUGGGGGGUUGCCAUCACAUCUAGGCAGCUCCAACUGCUGAUAAAAUGUUGUGAAAUCCACUGCAUAUGUCUGAUUAACAAAGAAAUAUUUAUAAAUAUAAAAAAAUCAAAACUAUUGGAAAAAAAGGUACAUUCAAUAAUUACAUUGUAAAUAAUGGAAAGUAAACAGUGCAAUAAAUGAAGAAAAAAUGUUCAAUUUUAAUUAAACAUCAGUGCACUCAGGCACACAGGCAGAGGUACAAUGCAACUGAAAUGUGUUGUACAAACACAAACAUUAAUGUGGGUGGAUUAAGAUGGCGUGGUACUAAUUAAAAUUCCACAGCAGCCACUGAACGUGGCUUUGACAGUGGUGGAAAUAGUACACAGAUCUUUCAUUUAAGUAGAAGUAGAAAUACUCCAGUGUAGAAAUACAAUAUUAAGUGCCUCAUAUACUGCUGGGUAGCUUUUGAACUUCCCAUGGAUUGGACAUUAAAGUCUUUAUCCUUUAAAAUAUAAUGGUUUGAUUUAUUAGUUGUAUUUUGUGUUAUUAAUCUGGAUUUGUAAAGUAAUCUGAGAUGUGAAGUAAAUGUAACAGAGCAAUAUUUGUUCAGUACUUGAAUAAAGGUACUCAGCUCUUGGUCUUAAUUUUUUUUUAAUGUUCUCCUAUGGCAAUAACAUCGAUUCUAUUAUAUUCUUUUAUAUGGGAAAUCAUGAAUUUAAGAGUUUAAAUAAAGGACUAAAUCCCAGUAGCUGAAGUGUCCCUGAGCAAGGCUUUUCAUCUCAGCUUCCCACCAGCCGUUGCAGCUGCUCCUCCAGUCCAGCAGGGGGCAGGCCAGGGAUCACCAGCCGGAAACGGUCCGCUGUGUUCAGUAAUCCAACAUGUCUGCGCCCUGAAGGAUGCUGCGAACAGCGUGAGGGGACAGGACAAGAGGCAGGUUUCUUCAACGUGGCAAACAUCUCACUCCGCUGCUGAUCCACACUGCAAACACCUCGGGGAAAGUGACUCUCCCUAAACCAAUCGAAGGCAAAGAUUUUUUUAAUUACCUGCCUGCUGCAAAAUGGAAAGGCAAAGGUUUUGCUUGUUGGUAUCAGUAUCGACGGGAGUCCAUGAUGCUUUAAUGAGCCUGGUGUGUAAGUGAUUUGUUGAGAAUGCUUGAAAUGCUCAUUUGU